This 1053-nucleotide ribosomal RNA is filed under the name Bacillus cereus LCT-BC25. RNAcentral describes it as "bacterial LSU rRNA". It matches the Rfam family "Bacterial large subunit ribosomal RNA", at positions 1456 to 2516 of the family's 2925-position model. The record is from RNAcentral. Lineage: Bacteria; Bacillati; Bacillota; Bacilli; Caryophanales; Bacillaceae.
UUUGAGCAAUGGAGGGACGCAGAAGGAUAGAAGAAGCGUGCGAUUGGUUGUGCACGUCCAAGCAGUUAGGCUGAUAAGUAGGCAAAUCCGCUUAUCGUAAAGGCUGAGCUGUGAUGGGGAAGCUCCUUAUGGAGCGAAGUCUUUGAUUCCCCGCUGCCAAGAAAAGCUUCUAGCGAGAUAAAAGGUGCCUGUACCGCAAACCGACACAGGUAGGCGAGGAGAGAAUCCUAAGGUGUGCGAGAGGACUCUGGUUAAGGAACUCGGCAAAAUGACCCCGUAACUUCGGGAGAAGGGGUGCUUUCUUAACGGAAAGCCGCAGUGAAUAGGCCCAAGCGACUGUUUAGCAAAAACACAGCUCUCUGCGAAGCCGUAAGGCGAAGUAUAGGGGGUGACACCUGCCCGGUGCUGGAAGGUUAAGGAGAGGGGUUAGCGUAAGCGAAGCUCUGAACUGAAGCCCCAGUAAACGGCGGCCGUAACUAUAACGGUCCUAAGGUAGCGAAAUUCCUUGUCGGGUAAGUUCCGACCCGCACGAAAGGUGUAACGAUUUGGGCACUGUCUCAACCAGAGACUUGGUGAAAUUAUAGUACCUGUGAAGAUGCAGGUUACCCGCGACAGGACGGAAAGACCCCGUGGAGCUUUACUGUAGCCUGAUAUUGAAUUUUGGUACAGUUUGUACAGGAUAGGCGGGAGCCUUUGAAACCGGAGCGCUAGCUUCGGUGGAGGCGCUGGUGGGAUACCGCCCUGACUGUAUUGAAAUUCUAACCUCCGGGUCUUAUCGACCCGGGAGACAGUGUCAGGUGGGCAGUUUGACUGGGGCGGUCGCCUCCUAAAGUGUAACGGAGGCGCCCAAAGGUUCCCUCAGAAUGGUUGGAAAUCAUUCGUAGAGUGCAAAGGCAUAAGGGAGCUUGACUGCGAGACCUACAAGUCGAGCAGGGACGAAAGUCGGGCUUAGUGAUCCGGUGGUUCCGCAUGGAAGGGCCAUCGCUCAACGGAUAAAAGCUACCCCGGGGAUAACAGGCUUAUCUCCCCCAAGAGUCCACAUCGACGGGGAGG